UAUGGGGUGGAGGUGUAUGGGGUGGGGGUGUACGGGAUGAAGGUGGGUGGGAUGGAGGUAUAUGGGAUGGAGGUGUAUGGGAUGGAGGUAUAUGGGAUGGAGGUGUAUGGGGUGAAGAUGUGCAGACCCAACCGGCAGCAGCCACAAGCAUAGAGGAGAGAGGAGGAUGAGGCAGGGAAACCCCCAUGGCCUUCUCAAACGCUGUGUCAUCUCCUCCCCGAAGCCAAACAAACAAAAUCGCUACCAGCCCACACAACCUAAAAUUCCAGCAUUAGGAAAUCCAGGGGAAAAGCAGGAAGCGGAGGUGCAGACAGGGCUGGGUGCUGCCGUGCUGCAGGCGGGGCCUGAAGCUCCGGGGCAGCGCUGGGAACCGCUUCCCAACCCGGUCCCAUAGCGGGAGCUCUCCCAGACACCCCAACUCCACCCCGAGGCUUCGGGGAACUGGAAUGGUGAUGCAAGGUGGGAUGAAGCAACAGCGCUGGGAGGAAGCAGGGGAUGGGAUGUGGCGUGGCUGAGCUUUGCUCCUCGCCAUCCCGAUCCCAGCAGGAGCCGGCUGAGCAUCGUCCCCAUGUCACAGCCAGACAGUGAGUGGGGAUGACAGGGUUAUAGGAAACAAGGUGACACUUCCAAACACAUUCUCUUUGCUGCUCUUUUCCUUUCCUGGCUGUGGCAAGGGUUGCACAGGAAAGCCAGCAAGCUAAUGUAUUCAUGUCAUCUUGCAUUUGGUGCCAGGACAUGAAGUAAACACUGUCAGGGACCUCGCUCAGGUUCAAAGACGAGCCCUGCUUCUUAUUCCGAUCACAUUAUCCGCGCUCCCCGUACGGAUUCGUUGAUUCAUAUCUUAAAAAGAAAAGCCUUCAAAACCCAUUAAGCCUGCCUUGCCAUUCCAGCCCUGCUCUCAAGGGCUGGGGCAAGAAGCAUUAACUAAUCUGCUCACAUUACUUUGCCUUUGAGCCGAGCAUCUCUCGGUGUCAAUCAAGCGUGUCUGGAAGUGAUACGCUCCGGUGCAGGGCAGCGAGUUCACUGCAUGGAAAAUCAAUGUGGGAGCCCUCAGCCGGGCAGCGGGUGGGCAAAGGCACCUCUGGAAAAGAACCCACGGAGGAGGCUUUGCCGUGCUCUUAGCGACGGCUGCUCUUUCUCGAGACCUCAGGUGGUGCCUGGGACACAAAUGGGGACGUCCCGGUGCCACCUGGUGUGCAGAGAGAGGAGCAGUGCAGCCACAGGAGGUGCUCGGGGUGCUCCCAAAGAGCUCCCAUCCCUGUGGAACCACUGGGGAGGGUCCAUCCCCUCCAGCCCCCAGCUACAGAGAACGAUGAUGGGAUGGGCGUGGAGGGAUUUGGCUUCACAGAUAUGUUGAGUGUUUUUUAGGGCUCGGAGAGGUCCAAGAGGAUGUUGUCACUGAGUGGGGAUGAAUGACAGCAUCCCAGUCUCUCGCUGAUGGGAUGGAGAGCCAGGAUCCCCCAAAGCUUGCUCUGCCUUGUCUUUCUGACCUCCUAACUUAGUGAACCAGGGCUGAUCGAGGCUGCUUGGAUCUGCCCCUGGUUUCAAAACCCAUUUGUGUGGGGAGUCCGUUUCCCAGCACGGAGGUGUGGGGAGAGGUGUGCGUGCUGCUGAGAGCGGGGAGGGGGAGGCAGAGCCAUCCUGCAGACAUCGGGAUCAGCUGGCUGAGAUGUGGCCACGGGGAAUUACACGCAGGGCUGAGCCUGUCAGAUUACCCG
RNAcentral lists this long non-coding RNA (1718 nucleotides) under Gallus gallus (chicken). RNAcentral describes it as "lncRNA (ENSGALG00010030006.1)". The record is from RNAcentral. Lineage: Eukaryota; Metazoa; Chordata; Aves; Galliformes; Phasianidae.